CGGAGGUGGCAAGCGUUGUUCGGGAUUACUGGGCGUAAAGGGCGCGUAGGCGGCAAGGCAAGUCAGGUGUGAAAGCCCCGGGCUUAACUCGGGAAUUGCAUCUGAAACUGCUGUGCUUGAGUUCUGGAGGGGGUAGUGGAAUUCCCAGUGUAGCGGUGAAAUGCGUAGAUAUUGGGAGGAACACCUGCGGCGAAAGGCGGCUACCUGGACAGAAACUGACGCUGAGGCGCGAAAGCUAGGGGAGCGAACGGGAUUAGAUACCCCGGUAGUCCUAGCUGUAAACGAUGGGCACUUGGUGUUGGGGGUAUUGAGUCCCCCAGUGCCGGAGUUAACACGUUAAGUGCCCCGCCUGGGGAUACGGUCGCAAGACUG
RNAcentral lists this ribosomal RNA (372 nucleotides) under uncultured organism. RNAcentral's name for it is "bacterial SSU rRNA". It matches the Rfam family "Bacterial small subunit ribosomal RNA", at positions 526 to 896 of the family's 1533-position model. The record is from RNAcentral.